Long non-coding RNA from Ictalurus punctatus (channel catfish), 1674 nucleotides. Lineage: Eukaryota; Metazoa; Chordata; Actinopteri; Siluriformes; Ictaluridae. The record is from Ensembl.
UGGUGAUGAAGAUGAUGAUGAUGAUGAUGAUGUGUUUAUGGUGUAACAGGCAGCAGGAGCGGGUGGUGAUGAUGAUGAUGAUGAUGAAGAUGUGUGUUUAUGGUGUAACAGGCAGCAGGAGCGGGUGGUGAUGAUGAUGAUGAUGAUGAUGUGUGUUUAUGGUGUAACAGGCAGCAGGAGCGGGUGAUGAUGAUGAUGAUGAUGAUGUGUGUUUAUGGUGUAACAGGCAGCAGGAGCGGGUGAUGAUGAUGAUGAUGAUGUUUGUUUAUGGUGUAACAGGCAGCAGGAGCGGGUGAUGAUGAUUGAUGAUGAUGAUGAUGUUUGUUUAUGGUGUAACAGGCAGCAGGAGCGGGUGGUGAUGAUGAUGAUGAUGAUGAUGAAGAUGUGUGUUUAUGGUGUAACAGGCAGCAGGGAGCGGUGAUGAUGAUGAUGAUGAUGAUGUUUGUUUAUGGUGUAACAGGCAGCAGGAGCGGGUGGUGAUGAUGAUGAUGAUGAUGAUGAAGAUGUGUGUUUAUGGUGUAACAGGCAGCAGGAGCGGGUGAUGAUGAUGAUGAUUGAUGAUGAUGAAGAUGUGUGUUUAUGGUGUAACAGGCAGCAGGAGCGGGUGAUGAUGAUGAUGAUGAUGUGUGUUUAUGGUGUAACAGGCAGCAGGAGCGGGUGAUGAUGAUGGUGAUGAUGAUGAUGAUGUGUGUUUAUGGUGUAACAGGCAGCAGGAGCGGGUGAUGAUGAUGAUGAUGAUGAUGAUGAUGUGUGUUUAUGGUGUAACAGGCAGCAGGAGCGGGUGAUGAUGAUGAUGAUGAUGAUGAUGAUGAUGAUGAUGUUUGUUUAUGGUGUAACAGGCAGCAGGAGCGGAUGAUGAUGAUGAUGAUGAUGAUGUGUGUUUAUGGUGUAACAGGCAGCAGGAGCGGGUGGUGAUGAUGAUGAUGAUGUGUGUUUAUGGUGUAACAGGCAGCAGGAGCGGGUGGUGAUGAUGAUGAUGAUGAAGAUGUGUGUUUAUGGUGUAACAGGCAGCAGGAGCGGGUGAUGAUGAUGAUGAUGAUGAUGUGUGUUUAUGGUGUAACAGGCAGCAGGAGCGGGUGGUGAUGAUGAUGAUGAUGUGUGUUUAUGGUGUAACAGGCAGCAGGAGCGGGUGGUGAUGAUGAUGAUGAUGAUGAUGAUGAUGUGUGUUUAUGGUGUAACAGGCAGCAGGAGCGGGUGAUGAUGAUGAUGAUGAUGAUGAUGAAGAUGUGUGUUUAUGGUGUAACAGGCAGCAGGAGCGGGUGGUGAUGAUGAUGAUGAUGUGUGUUUAUGGUGUAACAGGCAGCAGGAGCGGGUGAUGAUGAAGAUGAUGAUGAUGAAGAUGUGUGUUUAUGGUGUAACAGGCAGCAGGAGCGGGUGGUGAUGAUGAUGAUGAUGAUGAUGAUGAUGAUGAAGAUGUGUGUUUAUGGUGUAACAGGCAGCAGGAGCGGGUGAUGAUGAUGAUGAUGAUGAUGUUGUUUAUGGUGUAACAGGCAGCAGGAGCGGGUGGUGAUGAUGAUGAUGAUGAUGAUGAUGAUGAUGAAGAUGUGUGUUUAUGGUGUAACAGGCAGCAGGAGCGGGUGGUGAUGAUGAUGGUGAUGAUGAUGAUGAUGUUUGUUUAUGGUGUAACAGGCAGCAGGAGCGGGUGAUGAUGAUGAUGAUGAUGAUGAAGAUGUG